RNAcentral lists this ribosomal RNA (549 nucleotides) under uncultured Glomeraceae. Its description in RNAcentral is "SSU rRNA". It matches the Rfam family "Eukaryotic small subunit ribosomal RNA", at positions 548 to 1098 of the family's 1831-position model. The record is from RNAcentral. Lineage: Eukaryota; Fungi; Glomeromycota; Glomeromycetes; Glomerales; Glomeraceae.
UUGGAGGGCAAGUCUGGUGCCAGCAGCCGCGGUAAUUCCAGCUCCAAUAGCGUAUAUUAAAGUUGUUGCAGUUAAAAAGCUCGUAGUUGAAUUUCGGGGUUAGUAGGUUGGUCAUGCCUCUGGUAUGUACUGGUCUCACUGAUUCCUCCUUCCUGAUGAUCCGUAAUGCCAUUUAUUUGGUGUUGCGGGGAAUUUGGACUGUUACUUUGAAAAAAUUAGAGUGUUUAAAGCAAGCUAACGCUUGAAUACAUUAACAUGGAAUAAUGAAAUAGGACGUUCGAUCCUAUUUUGUUGGUUUCUAGGAUUGACGUAAUGAUUAAUAGGGAUAGUUGGGGGCAUUAGUAUUCAAUUGUCAGAGGUGAAAUUCUUGGAUUUAUUGAAGACUAACUACUGCGAAAGCAUUUGCCAAGGAUGUUUUCAUUAAUCAAGAACGAAAGUUAGGGGAUCGAAGACGAUCAGAUACCGUCGUAGUCUUAACCAUAAACUAUGCCGACUAGGGAUCGGAUGAUGUUAAUUUUUUAAUGACUCAUUCGGCGCCUUACGGGAAAC